Molecule: ribosomal RNA, 548 nt
Filed under: uncultured Glomus
Lineage: Eukaryota; Fungi; Glomeromycota; Glomeromycetes; Glomerales; Glomeraceae
Description: SSU rRNA
Rfam family: Eukaryotic small subunit ribosomal RNA
Source: RNAcentral
UUGGAGGGCAAGUCUGGUGCCAGCAGCCGCGGUAAUUCCAGCUCCAAUAGCGUAUAUUAAAGUUGUUGCAGUUAAAAAGCUCGUAGUUGAAUUUCGAGACCGGCUUAUUGGUCGUGCUAUUGUACGUACUGGUAUAAUCGGUUUCUCCUUUCUGACGAACUAUGAUGCCAUUAAUUUGGUGUUAUAGGGAAUCAGGACUGUUACUUUGAAAAAAUUAGAGUGUUUAAAGCAGGCUCACGCUUGAAUACAUUAGCAUGGAAUAACGGAAUAGGACGUUUGAUUCUAUUUUGUUGGUUUCUAGGAUCGACGUAAUGAUUAAUAGGGAUAGUUGGGGGCAUUAGUAUUCAAUUGUCAGAGGUGAAAUUCUUGGAUUUAUUGAAGACUAACUACUGCGAAAGCAUUUGCCAAGGAUGUUUUCAUUAAUCAAGAACGAAAGUUAGGGGAUCGAAGACGAUCAGAUACCGUCGUAGUCUUAACCAUAAACUAUGCCGACUAGGGAUCGGACGAAGUUAAUUUUAUAAUGACGCGUUCGGCGCCUUACGGGAAAC